UUGGAAGUAAAAAGUCGUAACAAGGUCUCCGUUGGUGAACCAGCGGAGGGAUCAUUACUGAGUUUACGCUCUACAACCCUUUGUGAACAUACCUAUAACUGUUGCUUCGGCGGGUAGGGUCUCCGCGACCCUCCCGGCCUCCCGCCUCCGGGCGGGUCGGCGCCCGCCGGAGGAUAACCAAACUCUGAUUUAACGACGUUUCUUCUGAGUGGUACAAGCAAAUAAUCAAAACUUUUAACAACGGAUCUCUUGGUUCUGGCAUCGAUGAAGAACGCAGCGAAAUGCGAUAAGUAAUGUGAAUUGCAGAAUUCAGUGAAUCAUCGAAUCUUUGAACGCACAUUGCGCCCGCCAGCAUUCUGGCGGGCAUGCCUGUUCGAGCGUCAUUUCAACCCUCAAGCUCUGCUUGGUGUUGGGGCCCUACAGCCGAUGUAGGCCCUCAAAGGUAGUGGCGGACCCUCCCGGAGCCUCCUUUGCGUAGUAACUUUACGUCUCGCACUGGGAUCCGGAGGGACUCUUGCCGUAAAACCCCCCAAUUUUCCAAAGGUUGACCUCGGAUCAGG
This 560-nucleotide ribosomal RNA is filed under the name Colletotrichum gloeosporioides. Its description in RNAcentral is "eukaryotic LSU rRNA". The stretch from base 230 to 383 matches the Rfam family "5.8S ribosomal RNA". The record is from RNAcentral. Lineage: Eukaryota; Fungi; Ascomycota; Sordariomycetes; Glomerellales; Glomerellaceae.